Non-coding RNA from Odocoileus virginianus texanus, 439 nucleotides. Lineage: Eukaryota; Metazoa; Chordata; Mammalia; Artiodactyla; Cervidae. The record is from RefSeq and is a predicted model, not a curated record.
GGAAAACAAACUGUGCUGAGAGUGAUUUUGGAGAGACUCACUUUUUCCUCUACAUACUUCUGUGUUGAAGUUUAUUCAAAGCAUCUCUUAAAUACUUACAGUGUUCUUCUUUUCUUAUGCACACAUAUCAAUGGGAAAUUCAUACGUCGAAAAACGGGCUCCUUUGUGAAACCAAGAGUCAAACUUUUCACUCCAGUAAAUGAGUGCUCAGAGGAUGACCUUAGAUUCACCACAGGCAGAGGAAGAUAACUGAAACAUGAGGAAAAGUUCCAGUUCACAGAACAGCCUGGAUUGUCAAGAAAAGUUACUAAAAGAACCUAGUUCUUCAUUUCUCUGAUCUUUCUCUUAUGAAACUUAUCAGUGCUAUACAUAUUCAGGGAAAUGUCUUAGUGAAAAAGAGGAGACAUAAAGCUCCUCCAAAAGAUCAGUGGUUAUUAGA